AUUGAACGCUGGCGGCAGGCCUAACACAUGCAAGUCGAGCGAGUGGCGGACGGGUGAGUAAUGUCUGGGAAACUGCCCGAGGGAGGGGGGUAACUACUGGAAACGGUGGCUCAUACCGCGUACCAUCUGAUGUGCCCCGAUGGAUUAGCUGGUAGGUGGGGUAACGGCUCACCUCGGCGACGAUCCCUAGCUGGUCUGAGAGGAUGACCAGCCACACUGGAACUGAGACACGGUCCAGACUCCUACGGGAGGCAGCAGUGGGGAAUAUUGCACAAUGGGCGCAAGCCUGAUGCAGCCAUGCCGCGUGUAUGAAGAAGGCCUUCGGGUUGUAAAGUACUUUCAGCGAGGAGGCGUUACUCGCAGAAGAAGCACCGGCUAACUCCGUGCCAGCAGCCGCGGUAAUUC
RNAcentral lists this ribosomal RNA (405 nucleotides) under uncultured bacterium. RNAcentral describes it as "partial 16S ribosomal RNA". It matches the Rfam family "Bacterial small subunit ribosomal RNA", at positions 30 to 526 of the family's 1533-position model. The record is from RNAcentral.